AUUCAGUUCAGUUGUCAGGUUUUCAUCAGAGUAACAGUGAAUGAAUCUAAAGACAGUGAAUGGCUGAAAACAUAUGACUGAACUGUUCCACUGUCUUCAUCACAUCAGUUGCUGAAAAGCCCAUAAUCUGCCUCCAGAGGUUAAGGAAGAAACGAGCAGACGUAAGUGGAAUAAGGAUCUUGGUGCAUCCGAAGAGCAAAAAGAGAGAUUUAAGCCUGGUCUUAAAGUAGAGACAGUUUCUGCUGCUCAGACCUGAAUACCUCAUUUAAUAUGAUUACAAAUCACCAGUCGGUGCCGCCUUUAAAUCACACACAGCCAGUUCUGCUCCUCCAGAGCCACUGUCCUGCUGAUUCUACGACGAACGCUGCUCGGCUGCCACUGAUUACCCUGAGCAGGUGUGUUCAGUCAAUCAGCAGCAGGAAACGCCAAGUGACACACGCGAUCAGGGUAGUCAGCGGGGGGUGUGGGGGGCAGCAGCACAGAGAGCUGCCCCUCUGCUCUGAAGCAACCGCUGCAGGACAGAGGCACCAACGUCAGUGGUAGAACUCACAAAGAGACCCGAUUCACUGACAGCUCUAGACACCAGAACAGAGGAGCAGCCAUUCAUCAGUGCAGGAAAAGGCCUGGAGCCCCCUGUGCUCCGUGGACUCCAGGCAGAGCCAAUCUCUGGGGAAUGAGUUCCAGUCAUGAAGAGACAGAAACAUGGGGAUAAACAAAUGGACCGGUUUUUGCAUGCAGGCCUAAUUACAGGGCAGCUAGAAAUAACCACUGCAGGAGACAGGCAGGCCAGUGUAAUGCAUUGUAAUGGGCCGUGGGGAGUUAAUGCCUCAUUUCUGAGCUGAGAUGAUGCUUGUUUGGUUCACAUGCUGCUGUGAUUCAGCCCAUGAACGAGCACAGACAGAGGCUCGAGGAGGUGGGGCUGUAUCUGCUGCAACGCGAGCGAGGCUGAGGCAAACAGCUGGCUGCACCCGGGGCGUCUGGACAAAUGUCACGUGCAUGAGCCCCGGACCAGGACCAUUCACUCCUGGAUCGAAGCCAAGAACGCUCGUCAUAAACGCUGGCUGCGUCUACGCAGCAUCGCACGCGCUCAGGCUCCUCCUCUUUAGUGCACAGGUGAACUUAGGCGAUGGCCAUGGGACAGACAGGCAUCAGGCCAAGCAGUCAGUCUCCAGGCGUGGUUCAACAAACGAGGCAGAGUCCAGAAUCAAAACAGACAGGGAGCAGGCAGGAAAAGGUCCGGAGGAGAUCCAGGACUGGUGCAGAGACGAACGAACGCUGGGGAGUUGA
RNAcentral lists this long non-coding RNA (1287 nucleotides) under Betta splendens (Siamese fighting fish). Its description in RNAcentral is "lncRNA (ENSBSLG00000017341.1)". The record is from RNAcentral. Lineage: Eukaryota; Metazoa; Chordata; Actinopteri; Anabantiformes; Osphronemidae.